This 491-nucleotide ribosomal RNA is filed under the name uncultured delta proteobacterium. Its description in RNAcentral is "bacterial SSU rRNA". It matches the Rfam family "Bacterial small subunit ribosomal RNA", at positions 39 to 543 of the family's 1533-position model. Lineage: Bacteria; Deltaproteobacteria. The record is from RNAcentral.
GCGGCGUGCCUAAUACAUGCAAGUCGAACGGGGAAGUACCUUCGGGUAUUGUACUAGUGGCGUACGGGUGAGUAACACGUGGAUAAUCUGCCCUCAGGUGGGGAAUAACUAACCGAAAGGUUAGCUAAUACCGCAUAAGACCACAAUUUCUACGGAUUUUGAGGUUAAAGGCUUCGGUCGCCCGAGGAUGAGUCCGCGUCCCAUUAGCUAGUUGGUAGGGUAACGGCCUACCAAGGCUUCGAUGGGUAGCUGGUCUGAGAGGAUGAUCAGCCACACUGGGACUGAGACACGGCCCAGACUCCUACGGGAGGCAGCAGUAGGGAAUAUUGCACAAUGGAGGAAACUCCGAUGCAGCGACGCCGCGUGAGUGAUGAAGGCCUUCGGGUUGUAAAGCUCUGUUCUCAGGGAAAAAGAAAGUGAUUGUACCUGAGGAGAAAGGACCGGCUAACUUCGUGCCAGCAGCCGCGGUAAGACGAGGGGUCCUAGCGUUG